This 301-nucleotide ribosomal RNA is filed under the name uncultured bacterium. RNAcentral's name for it is "partial 16S ribosomal RNA". It matches the Rfam family "Bacterial small subunit ribosomal RNA", at positions 509 to 807 of the family's 1533-position model. The record is from RNAcentral.
CAGCAGCCGCGGUAAAACGGAGGGGGCUAGCGUUGUUCGGAAUUACUGGGCGUAAAGCGCACGUAGGCGGCUUGGUAAGUUAGAGGUGAAAGCCUGGAGCUCAACUCCAGAAUUGCCUUUAAGACUGCCGAGCUAGCAGGUGAGAGAGGUAAGUGGAAUUCCGAGUGUAGAGGUGAAAUUUGUAGAUAUUCGGAAGAACACCAGUGGCGAAGGCGGCUUACUGGCUCAUACUGGACGCUGAGGUGCGAAAGCGUGGGGAGCAAACAGGAUUAGAUACCCCAGUAGUCCCUGUCUCUUAUAC